RNAcentral lists this ribosomal RNA (461 nucleotides) under uncultured bacterium. Its description in RNAcentral is "bacterial SSU rRNA". It matches the Rfam family "Bacterial small subunit ribosomal RNA", at positions 338 to 793 of the family's 1533-position model. The record is from RNAcentral.
CCUACGGGAGGCAGCAUGGGGGAAUAUUGCACAAUGGGCGCAAGCCUGAUGCAGCCAUGCCGCGUGUAUGAAGAAGGCCUUCGGGUGUAAAGUACUUUCAGCAGUGAGGAAGGUGGAUAUGUUAAUAGCAUAUUCAUUUGACGUUAGCUGCAGAAGAAGCACCGGCUAACUCCGUGCCAGCAGCCGCGGUAAUACGGAGGGUGCGAGCGUUAAUCGGAAUUACUGGGCGUAAAGCGCAUGCAGGUGGUUUGUUAAGUCAGAUGUGAAAGCCCGGGGCUCAACCUCGGAAUUGCAUUUGAAACUGGCAAACUAGAGUACUGUAGAGGGGGUAGAAUUUCAGGUGUAGCGGUGAAAUGCGUAGAGAUCUGAAGGAAUACCGGUGGCGAAGGCGGCCCCCUGGACAGAUACUGACACUCAGAUGCGAAAGCGUGGGGAGCAAACAGGAUUAGAUACCCUGGUAG